RNAcentral lists this ribosomal RNA (460 nucleotides) under uncultured bacterium. Its description in RNAcentral is "partial 16S ribosomal RNA". It matches the Rfam family "Bacterial small subunit ribosomal RNA", at positions 338 to 795 of the family's 1533-position model. The record is from RNAcentral.
CCUACGGGCGGCAGCAGUGAGGAAUAUUGGUCAAUGGACGAGAGUCUGAACCAGCCAAGUAGCGUGAAGGAUGACUGCCCUAUGGGUUGUAAACUUCUUUUAUAUGGGAAUAAAAUGUUCCACGUGUGGGAUUUUGUAUGUACCAUAUGAAUAAGGAUCGGCUAACUCCGUGCCAGCAGCCGCGGUAAUACGGAGGAUCCGAGCGUUAUCCGGAUUUAUUGGGUUUAAAGGGGGCGUAGGUGGAUUGUUAAGUCAGUUGUGAAAGUUUGCGGCUCAACCGUAAAAUUGCAGUUGAAACUGGCAGUCUUGAGUACAGGAGAGGUGGGCGGAAUUCGUGGUGUAGCGGUGAAAUGCUUAGAUAUCACGAAGAACUCCGAUUGCGGAGGCAGUUCACUGGACUGCAACUGACACUGAGGCUCGAAAGUGUGGGUAUCAAACAGGAUUAGAUACCCCAGUAGUC